UGGGGAAUAUUGGACAAUGGGGGAAACCCUGAUCCAGCAAUGCCGCGUGAGUGAAGAAGGCCUUAGGGUUGUAAAGCUCUUUCGCCCGCGAAGAUAAUGACGGUAGCGGGAGAAGAAGCCCCGGCUAACUCCGUGCCAGCAGCCGCGGUAAUACGGAGGGGGCUAGCGUUGUUCGGAAUUACUGGGCGUAAAGCGUACGUAGGCGGAUGCGCAAGUUGGGGGUGAAAUCCCGGGGCUUAACCUCGGAAUUGCCCUCAAAACUGCACGUCUUGAGACCGAGAGAGGUAAGGGUAAUUCCUAGUGUAGAGGUGAAAUUCGGAGAUAUUAGGAAGAACACCAGUGGCGAAGGCGCCUUACUGGCUCGGUACUGACGCUGAGGUACGAAAGCGUGGGGAGCAAACA
RNAcentral lists this ribosomal RNA (402 nucleotides) under uncultured bacterium. RNAcentral's name for it is "bacterial SSU rRNA". It matches the Rfam family "Bacterial small subunit ribosomal RNA", at positions 355 to 774 of the family's 1533-position model. The record is from RNAcentral.